GACAGUUCUGCUCAGAAACAUAAAAUUUGUCUGAGCAAAAAGAGAAAGCACAGACUUCCGGGGCUAAAGAAGACAAAAACGGAAACAAACAACUUCAAUGUAAGAUGCACUGCAUUCAAAGCCCCUGAAAUCAAAUUCCUCAAACCCUCUCCUCCUUCCACACUCUCCCCCACAUCACUCCCUUCUUCCUCCUCUCCUUCCUCCUCCCUCUCUUCCUCCUCUUCCUGCUCCUCUCCCUCCUAUGUCUUUCCGUCCUCUUUCUACAACGUCCCUCCGUCCGCUGAAAAACAGGACCCUGUGACAUCACCGACACAGGACAACCUCUCUGUUAAGACUACUGAAAGCAGCAGAAAGCCAGAUUCAAGUCCCAAGCCGCCUCUGUUCAAAUUCAUGACAGUCCUGAAAGACAAAACCAAGAGGAAGCUUAAAAACUAGGUCUUGGUGAUCCAAUAGUAACCCAUAGCUCCUUUUCAUAGCCCCUACCUCUAAGCCCUAGCCACUACCUCUUUAGUGUUUACAGUUUGAGGUGUGUAAGCGAUAACACCGCAGAUGCACACAGUAAUGAAGCAUGUAUGCCUAUCUUUGAUCAAAUGAUUAUCUUGCUAUAUUGAGUGUGUU
Molecule: long non-coding RNA, 618 nt
Organism: Oncorhynchus masou masou (cherry salmon)
Lineage: Eukaryota; Metazoa; Chordata; Actinopteri; Salmoniformes; Salmonidae
Exons: 3
Source: RefSeq, a predicted model, not a curated record